AUUGAACGCUGGCGGCAGGCCUAACACAUGCAAGUCGAGCGAGUGGCGGCCGGGUGAGUAAUGUCUGGGAAACUGCCCGAUGGAGGGGGAUAACUACUGGAAACGGUAGCUAAUACCGCAUACCAUCGGAUGUGCCCAGAUGGGAUUAGCUAGUAGGUGGGGUAACGGCGCACCUAGGCGACGAUCCCUAGCUGGUCUGAGAGGAUGACCAGCAACACUGGAACGGAGACACGGUCCAGACUCCUACGUGAGGCAGCAGUGGGGAAUAUUGCACAAUGGGCGCAAGCCUGAUGCAGCCAUGCCGCGUGUAUGAAGAAGGCCUUAGGGUUGUAAAGGACUUUCAGCGUGGAGGCGUUACCCGCAGAAGAAGCACCGGCUAACUCCGUGCCAGCAGCCGCGGUAAUAC
This 406-nucleotide ribosomal RNA is filed under the name uncultured bacterium. RNAcentral's name for it is "partial 16S ribosomal RNA". It matches the Rfam family "Bacterial small subunit ribosomal RNA", at positions 30 to 526 of the family's 1533-position model. The record is from RNAcentral.